UGGGGAAUUUUGGACAAUGGGCGAAAGCCUGAUCCAGCAAUGCCGCGUGUGUGAAGAAGGCCUUCGGGUUGUAAAGCACUUUUGUCCGGAAAGAAAUCCUUGGCUCUAAUACAGUCGGGGGAUGACGGUACCGGAAGAAUAAGCACCGGCUAACUACGUGCCAGCAGCCGCGGUAAUACGUAGGGUGCAAGCGUUAAUCGGAAUUACUGGGCGUAAAGCGUGCGCAGGCGGUUUGCUAAGACCGAUGUGAAAUCCCCGGGCUCAACCUGGGAACUGCAUUGGUGACUGGCAGGCUAGAGUAUGGCAGAGGGGGGUAGAAUUCCACGUGUAGCAGUGAAAUGCGUAGAGAUGUGGAGGAAUACCGAUGGCGAAGGCAGCCCCCUGGGCCAAUACUGACGCUCAUGCACGAAAGCGUGGGGAGCAAACAGGAUUAGAUACCCUGGUAGUCCACGCCCUAAACGAUGUCAACUAGUUGUUGGGGAUUCAUUUCCUUAGUAACGUAGCUAACGCGUGAAGUUGACCGCCUGGGGAGUACGGUCGCAAGAUUAAAACUCGAAUGAAUUGACGGGGUCAUAGCUG
RNAcentral lists this ribosomal RNA (579 nucleotides) under uncultured bacterium. Its description in RNAcentral is "partial 16S ribosomal RNA". It matches the Rfam family "Bacterial small subunit ribosomal RNA", at positions 355 to 932 of the family's 1533-position model. The record is from RNAcentral.